CCUACGGGGGGCAGCAGUGGGGAAUAUUGGACAAUGGGGGCAACCCUGAUCCAGCCAUGCCGCGUGUGUGAAGAAGGCCCUCGGGUUGUAAAGCACUUUCAGUGAGGAAGAACGCCUGGUGGUUAAUACCCAUCAGGAAAGACAUCACUCACAGAAGAAGCACCGGCUAACUCCGUGCCAGCAGCCGCGGUAAUACGGAGGGUGCGAGCGUUAAUCGGAAUUACUGGGCGUAAAGCGCGCGUAGGUGGCUUGAUAAGCCGGUUGUGAAAUCCCCGGGCUCAACCUGGGAACGGCAUCCGGAACUGUCAAGCUAGAGUGCAGGAGAGGAAGGUAGAAUUCCCGGUGUAGCGGUGAAAUGCGUAGAGAUCGGGAGGAAUACCAGUGGCGAAGGCGGCCUUCUGGACUGACACUGACACUGAGGUGCGAAAGCGUGGGUAGCAAACAGGAUUAGAUACCCCAGUAGUC
RNAcentral lists this ribosomal RNA (465 nucleotides) under Vreelandella stevensii. RNAcentral's name for it is "partial 16S ribosomal RNA". It matches the Rfam family "Bacterial small subunit ribosomal RNA", at positions 338 to 795 of the family's 1533-position model. The record is from RNAcentral. Lineage: Bacteria; Pseudomonadati; Pseudomonadota; Gammaproteobacteria; Oceanospirillales; Halomonadaceae.